RNAcentral lists this ribosomal RNA (257 nucleotides) under uncultured prokaryote. RNAcentral's name for it is "partial 16S ribosomal RNA". It matches the Rfam family "Bacterial small subunit ribosomal RNA", at positions 521 to 777 of the family's 1533-position model. The record is from RNAcentral.
UAAGACGUAGGGGGCGAGCGUUAUCCGGAUUCACUGGGCGUAAAGGGCGCGUAGGCGGUACGAAAGUCGGAUGUGAAAAGUCACGGCUCAACUGUGAUCGUGCAUCCGAUACUUCGUUGACUUGAGGUCGGUAGAGGCAAGUGGAACUAGCGGUGUAGCGGUGAAAUGCGCAGAUAUCGCUAGGAACGCCGGUGGCGAAGGCGACUUGCUGGGCCGUACCUGACGCUGAUGCGCGAAAGCUAGGGGAGCGAACCGGA